GGGACACUCAACAUGACCAGAGAAGUGAGGAGACAUCAACAAGACAACCAGCAGAAGACCUGAGCAGCUCAGCCUCAACUGAAUUCUUUGAGAUUCUUGCAGUCACCUUUGCUUGCUGAGGUAAACUCCAUCAUCUUUCCUUUCUUCUUG
This is a long non-coding RNA of Sceloporus undulatus (fence lizard), 150 nucleotides long. RefSeq lists it as uncharacterized. NCBI's taxonomy places the organism in Eukaryota, Metazoa, Chordata, Lepidosauria, Squamata, Phrynosomatidae. The record is from RefSeq and is a predicted model, not a curated record. The transcript is spliced from 4 exons.